This 203-nucleotide long non-coding RNA is filed under the name Mytilus galloprovincialis (Mediterranean mussel). Lineage: Eukaryota; Metazoa; Mollusca; Bivalvia; Mytilida; Mytilidae. The record is from RNAcentral.
GGACGUGUUGUUUCCUAUGAAAACAUUUUUGUUUUAUGUUUUCCUAGGGAAAUUAUUCAUGGAUAACUGUAGUUUUUACAAGGAACUGUUUUAUUGUCCGUUACUGUAUCAUUAUCAAAAAAUAAUAUUAGUGUUUGUAAUUUUUAACUGUUACACAUAUAUGGCGUAGGAAAGUGAAGAGAUUAUAUGCAUAAAUAAUGCAC